Molecule: ribosomal RNA, 418 nt
Filed under: uncultured bacterium
Lineage: Bacteria
Description: bacterial SSU rRNA
Rfam family: Bacterial small subunit ribosomal RNA
Source: RNAcentral
UGGGGAAUAUUGCACAAUGGGCGCAAGCCUGAUGCAGCAACGCCGCGUGAACGAAGAAGGUCUUCGGAUUGUAAAGUUCUGUCCUUAGGGAAGAAGGAAGUGACGGUACCUAAGGAGGAAGCCCCGGCUAACUACGUGCCAGCAGCCGCGGUAAUACGUAGGGGGCAAGCGUUAUCCGGAAUGAUUGGGCGUAAAGAGUACGUAGGUGGUUUCGUAAGCGCAGGGUGAAAGGGCAGUGGCUUAACCAUUGUAAGCCUUGCGAACUGCGAGACUUGAGUGCAGGAGAGGAAAGCGGAAUUCCUAGUGUAGCGGUGAAAUGCUUAGAUAUUAGGAGGAACACCAGUGGCGAAGGCGGCUUUCUGGACUGUAACUGACACUGAGGUACGAAAGCGUGGGGAGCAAACAGGAUUAGAUACCC